CUCCUCUCUGCUCAGAAACUUCUUUCCAAAUUCUUCCAUCACCGUUCUACCUUCUCACAAGGUCAGAAAUGCAUGCAUGGAGCCGACUGUUCCCAGGUAGACUCCUUCCGUGGAUCUAACGCCAACAUCAGGAGGAGCAGCACGGACUGGAAUUUCUCCAAGGCCCUGACUUCCAGCUCAAGGUUGAAGCCUCUCCUCAAGCUAGACCAGCAGGGCAGGCAAACUCGCAGCCUGUCCGCAGCCUGUCCCCUUGAAUUAAGCUGUAUUUCCCACUCCAGCAGUCUUCCACUUACCAAGGAUAGACAGAAAGAAACCUGGGAUCACAUCAAACCUUAAUGGAGAGACUUUUCACCUUCCUCUUAAUCAAAAUAUCAAGUUUUCUCCAACAUUCAAUCUUUUCUUGUGUCACACAGCUCUUACCUCGAAAUGGUGGGUACUUGGCAUGGCGAGAACAAU
This is a long non-coding RNA of Mastomys coucha (southern multimammate mouse), 456 nucleotides long. RefSeq lists it as uncharacterized. Lineage: Eukaryota; Metazoa; Chordata; Mammalia; Rodentia; Muridae. The record is from RefSeq and is a predicted model, not a curated record. The transcript has 2 exons.